Molecule: long non-coding RNA, 353 nt
Organism: Sebastes umbrosus (honeycomb rockfish)
Lineage: Eukaryota; Metazoa; Chordata; Actinopteri; Perciformes; Sebastidae
Exons: 3
Source: RefSeq, a predicted model, not a curated record
CAGCAGACUCCUGACCAGUCCUCUGACGUUGUUAGCCAUGUUGGCAGACCUGGAGUCACUGGAGGCCAGCUUGAUCAGAGUCACCAGGAAGUUCUUGCACUUCUUCACACUGUCCAGGGUCGCCUGUUGGUGAAACGUCAGGCUCUGAUUGUUAUUAUAAAUGUCUGACAACAUCGAGGAAAGAGUCUCGCUCAAGGAAGAAGUCUCCUUCUGAAAUCUGGUGAGGUGACGUGUUGCUGGAAGUUAACGGUGGAAUAUGGAAUACAUCCAUGGUGGAAAUGUGAGUGUUAUGUUGUGUUGGAGUACAGAGAGCGUAGCUUAGUGUUAAAGGUCCCAUAUUAUGCUAAUUUUCA